UGGCGGACGGGUGAGGAAUACAUCGGAAUCUACUCUGUCGUGGGGGAUAACGUAGGGAAACUUACGCUAAUACCGCAUACGACCUACGGGUGAAAGCAGGGGAUCUUCGGACCUUGCGCGAUUGAAUGAGCCGAUGUCGGAUUAGCUAGUUGGCGGGGUAAAGGCCCACCAAGGCGACGAUCCGUAGCUGGUCUGAGAGGAUGAUCAGCCACACUGGAACUGAGACACGGUCAGACUCCUACGGGAGGCAGCAGCC
Molecule: ribosomal RNA, 256 nt
Filed under: uncultured Stenotrophomonas sp.
Lineage: Bacteria; Pseudomonadati; Pseudomonadota; Gammaproteobacteria; Lysobacterales; Lysobacteraceae
Description: partial 16S ribosomal RNA
Rfam family: Bacterial small subunit ribosomal RNA
Source: RNAcentral